CAGUCGCCGCGGUAAUACGUAGGGUGCAAGCGUUAAUUGGAAUUACUGGGCGUAAAGCGUGCGCAGGCGGUUAUAUAAGACAGAUGUGAAAUCCCCGGGCUCAACCUGGGAACUGCAUUGGUGACUGCAACGCUGGAGUGCGGCAGAGGGGGAUGGAAUUCCGCGUGUAGCAGUGAAAUGCGUAGAUAUGCGGAGGAACACCGAUGGCGAAGGCAAUCCCCUGGGCCUGCACUGACGCUCAUGCACGAAAGCGUGGGGAGCAAACAGGAUUAGAUACCCCCGUAGUCCCUGUCUCUUAUAC
Molecule: ribosomal RNA, 301 nt
Filed under: uncultured bacterium
Lineage: Bacteria
Description: partial 16S ribosomal RNA
Rfam family: Bacterial small subunit ribosomal RNA
Source: RNAcentral